GAAAACAAUUUAAGUUACAAUCGAUGAUUAUAGACCUAUAGAAAUGGUUCCAUGGCAAAAAAAAGUAAAAGCAUGGAAGCAUAAACAAUAACUAAAAUUCGGUCCAUCCACUCAACCAAAGCAGUAAGGCUAAAGGCGUUAGAUGAAGCGAUGACGAUUUUAGUUGUUCUUUACGAUAUUGUUGCUGGAGAAGAAGGGUUUAAAGCAAGGAGAAGGAGCCUAAUUGCAUAUAUACAA
RNAcentral lists this small RNA (237 nucleotides) under Arabidopsis thaliana (thale cress). RNAcentral describes it as "ATSL256380". Lineage: Eukaryota; Viridiplantae; Streptophyta; Magnoliopsida; Brassicales; Brassicaceae. The record is from RNAcentral.